UACGGAGGGUGCGAGCGUUUAUCCGGAUUCACUGGGUUUAAAGGGGCGCGUAGGUGGCGCGACAAGUCAGUGGUGAAAAGUUCGACGCUCAACGUCGAAUCGGCCACUGAUACUGUUGGGCUUGAGCACUGUAGAGGCUAAUGGAAUUCCGGGGUGUAGCGGUGGAAUGCGUAGAGAUCCGGAAGAACACCGGUGGCGAAGGCGGUUAGCUGGGGCAGUUGCUGACACUGAGGCGCGACACGUGGGGGAGCAAAACAGGG
This 260-nucleotide ribosomal RNA is filed under the name uncultured bacterium. RNAcentral describes it as "partial 16S ribosomal RNA". It matches the Rfam family "Bacterial small subunit ribosomal RNA", at positions 524 to 777 of the family's 1533-position model. The record is from RNAcentral.